UGAGGUCGAGAUAUUCCAUCAACAAAAAAAAGAAAAGCAAACAGAUGGGGCCUAACAAGUCCGGUAUGUGCAUCAAAAUUUCAUCAAAUACUGCUCAAGUUGACCGAGGUUACACAGUCCUGGUUAGGCGGAGGGCGCCAUGGGAAUGCAGAGGAGGUGUUUGAAGAAGGGUCAAAAAAGACCCCCACUGAAGAGCAAGCCCAUCGCCACCGGUGGGCACCUUCAGGCUGCCCACAUCACAGGGAGUCUUGAUGAUUAAAAACGAGUCAACAUAGCCAGGCAGGGAACCAACCUUUCGUAGGGUUUUUCUUUCCUUUUUCAUGCUGCUGCUGUGAUGAGCGUUGACUGACUGUUGCUCCUCCAUAUGGGGAAAUCUUCUCGUCAGGGUGGGGAUUGGGGAGCCCUCUCUGGGCAUCUUUCCUCACAGUGAAAGACCACGUACAAGAGAACUUUGGAGAGGAAGAUGCAUGC
This 471-nucleotide long non-coding RNA is filed under the name Spirodela polyrhiza (greater duckweed). RNAcentral describes it as "long non-coding RNA (SPOL_LNC002321)". Lineage: Eukaryota; Viridiplantae; Streptophyta; Magnoliopsida; Alismatales; Araceae. The record is from RNAcentral.